AGAAUCAACGCUGGCGGCGUGCCUAACACAUGCAAGUCGAACGAGAAAGUGGAGCAAUCCAUGAGUAAAGUGGCGCACGGGUGAGUAACACGUGACUAACCUACCCUUGAGUGGGGGAUAACCUAGGGAAACCUGGGCUAAUACCGCAUAAUACCUUCGGGUCAAAGGAGCAAUUCGCUUAAGGAGGGGGUCGCGGCCGAUUAGUUAGUUGGCGGGGUAAUGGCCCACCAAGACCGUGAUCGGUAUCC
This 248-nucleotide ribosomal RNA is filed under the name uncultured bacterium. Its description in RNAcentral is "partial small subunit ribosomal RNA". It matches the Rfam family "Bacterial small subunit ribosomal RNA", at positions 26 to 288 of the family's 1533-position model. The record is from RNAcentral.